This 556-nucleotide ribosomal RNA is filed under the name Lysinibacillus xylanilyticus. RNAcentral's name for it is "bacterial SSU rRNA". It matches the Rfam family "Bacterial small subunit ribosomal RNA", at positions 76 to 616 of the family's 1533-position model. Lineage: Bacteria; Bacillati; Bacillota; Bacilli; Caryophanales; Bacillaceae. The record is from RNAcentral.
GAGCUUGCUCCUUUGACGUUAGCGGCGGACGGGUGAGUAACACGUGGGCAACCUACCCUAUAGUUUGGGAUAACUCCGGGAAACCGGGGCUAAUACCGAAUAAUCUCUUUUGCUUCAUGGUGAAAGAUUGAAAGACGGUUUCGGCUGUCACUAUAGGAUGGGCCCGCGGCGCAUUAGCUAGUUGGUGAGGUAACGGCUCACCAAGGCGACGAUGCGUAGCCGACCUGAGAGGGUGAUCGGCCACACUGGGACUGAGACACGGCCCAGACUCCUACGGGAGGCAGCAGUAGGGAAUCUUCCACAAUGGGCGAAAGCCUGAUGGAGCAACGCCGCGUGAGUGAAGAAGGUUUUCGGAUCGUAAAACUCUGUUGUAAGGGAAGAACAAGUACAGUAGUAACUGGCUGUACCUUGACGGUACCUUAUUAAAAAGCCACGGCUAACUACGUGCCAGCAGCCGCGGUAAUACGUAGGUGGCAAGCGUUGUCCGGAAUUAUUGGGCGUAAAGCGCGCGCAGGCGGUCCUCUAAGUCUGAUGUGAAAGCCCACGGCUCAACCGU